CCUACGGGAGGCUGCAGUGGGGAAUAUUGGACAAUGGGGGGAACCCUGAUCCAGCCAUGCCGCGUGUGUGAAGAAGGCCCUCGGGUUGUAAAGCACUUUCAGUGAGGAAGAACGCCUGGUGGUUAAUACCCAUCAGGAAAGACAUCACUCACAGAAGAAGCACCGGCUAACUCCGUGCCAGCAGCCGCGGUAAUACGGAGGGUGCGAGCGUUAAUCGGAAUUACUGGGCGUAAAGCGCGCGUAGGUGGCUUGAUAAGCCGGUUGUGAAAGCCCCGGGCUCAACCUGGGAACGGCAUCCGGAACUGUCAAGCUAGAGUGCAGGAGAGGAAGGUAGAAUUCCCGGUGUAGCGGUGAAAUGCGUAGAGAUCGGGAGGAAUACCAGUGGCGAAGGUGGCCUUCUGGACUGACACUGACACUGAGGUGCGAAAGCGUGGGUAGCAAACAGGAUUAGAUACCCUGGUAGUC
RNAcentral lists this ribosomal RNA (465 nucleotides) under Vreelandella stevensii. RNAcentral's name for it is "partial 16S ribosomal RNA". It matches the Rfam family "Bacterial small subunit ribosomal RNA", at positions 338 to 795 of the family's 1533-position model. Lineage: Bacteria; Pseudomonadati; Pseudomonadota; Gammaproteobacteria; Oceanospirillales; Halomonadaceae. The record is from RNAcentral.